This 861-nucleotide ribosomal RNA is filed under the name uncultured fungus. RNAcentral describes it as "SSU rRNA". It matches the Rfam family "Eukaryotic small subunit ribosomal RNA", at positions 612 to 1507 of the family's 1831-position model. The record is from RNAcentral. Lineage: Eukaryota; Fungi.
GUUGCAGUUAAAAGCUCGUAGUUGAACCUUGGGUCUGGCUGCUCGGUCCGCCUAACCGCGUGCACUGAUGCGGCCGGAUCUUUCCUUCUGGCUAACCUCAUGCCCUUCACUGGGUGUGCUGGGGAUCCAGGACUUUUACUUUGAAAAAAUUAGAGUGUUCAAAGCAGGCCUUUGCUCGAAUACAUUAGCAUGGAAUAAUAGAAUAGGACGGCGGUUCUAUUUUGUUGGCUUCUAGAGCCACCGUAAUGAUUAAUAGGGAUAGUCGGGGGCAUCAGUAUUCAAUUGUCAGAGGUGAAAUUCUUGGAUUUAUUGAAGACUAACUACUGCGAAAGCAUUUGCCAAGGAUGUUUUCAUUAAUCAGUGAACGAAAGUUAGGGGAUCGAAGACGAUCAGAUACCGUCGUAGUCUUAACCAUAAACUAUGCCGACUAGGGAUCGGGCGGUGUUCAACUUAUGACCCGCUCGGCACCUUACGAGAAAUCAAAGUUUUUGGGUUCUGGGGGGAGUAUGGUCGCAAGGCUGAAACUUAAAGGAAUUGACGGAAGGGCACCACCAGAUGUGGAGCCUGCGGCUUAAUUUGACUCAACACGGGAAAUCUCACCAGGUCCAGACACAUUAAGGAUUGACAGAUUGAGAGCUCUUUCUUGAUUAUGUGGGGUGGUGGUGCAUGGCCGUUCUUAGUUGGUGGAGUGAUUUGUCUGCUUAAUUGCGAUAACGAACGAGACCUUAACCUGCUAAAUAGCCAGGCUAUCUUUUGAUGGUCGCCGGCUUCUUAGAGGGACUAUCGGCUCAAGCCGAUGGAGUUUGAGCAUAACAGUCUGUGAUGCCCUUAGAUGUCUGGGCGCACGCGCGCUACACUGAC